AGGAAGGUCAGGCAGACGGGGAAAUGCAUCACUUGCUAUUUAUGUUGCCUUUGAAGGACCUUUGGAUCAAUAUUUCAUGAAAUUCCCUCAGAAACUUUUCAGGGGCCCAAUUGAAUGUUGUCAUAUAGAUGCAAGAAACCGGCAGGUUCUUGAACAGCAUCUGGCUGCUGCUGCUUUUGAAUAUCCAUUGAGCUUGUCUGAUGAUGAGAAAUACUUUGGCCCUGGCUUGGAGAGCAUCAUAAUGGCACUUAAAAACAAG
RNAcentral lists this unclassified non-coding RNA (259 nucleotides) under Hevea brasiliensis (rubber tree). The record is from RNAcentral. Lineage: Eukaryota; Viridiplantae; Streptophyta; Magnoliopsida; Malpighiales; Euphorbiaceae.